GAAAUUAAGCAUAUCAAUAAGCGGAGGAAAAGAAACUAACAAGGAUUCCCCUAGUAACGGCGAGUGAAGCGGGAAGAGCUCAAAUUUGUAAUCUGGCGGUCCCAGGCCGUCCGAGUUGUAGUCUGGAGAAGCGUCUUCCGUGCCGGACCGUGUACAAGUCCCUUGGAACAGGGCCUCAUAGAGGGUGAGAAUCCCGUCUUUGACACGGACUGCCGGUGCUCUGUGAUGCGCUCUCGAAAAGUCGAGUUGUUUGGGAAUGCAGCUCAAAAUGGGUGGUAAAUUCCAUCUAAAGCUAAAUAUUGGCGAAAGACCGAUAGCGAACAAGUACCGUGAGGGAAAGAUGAAAAGCACUUUGGAAAGAGAGUUAAACAGUACGUGAAAUUGUUGAAAGGGAAACGCUUGAAGUCAGUCGCGUCUUCCAGGACUCAGUCGGACACUCGUGUCUGAUGUACUUCCUGGUGUGACGGGCCAGCAUCGAUUUUGACCGUCGGAGAAAGGCUCUGGGAAUGUGGCACNUUCGGGUGUGUUAUAGCCCUGGGUCGUAUGCGACGGUCGGGAUCGAGGAUCGCAGCACGCCUUUCAUUGGCCGGGUUCGCCCACGCAAUGUGCUUAGGAUGCUGGCGUAAUGGCUUUAAGNGACCCGUNUUGAAACACGGACCAAGGAGUCUAACAUGCCUGCGAGUGUUUGGGUGGAAAACCCGGACGCGCAAUGAAAGUGAAAGGUUGGGACCUCUGUCGUGGAGGGCACCGACGCCCGGACCAGACCUUCUGUGACGGUUCCGAGGUAGAGCAUGUAUGUUGGGACCCGAAAGAUGGUGAACUAUGCCUGAGUAGGGUGAAGCCAGAGGAAACUCUGGUGGAGGCUCGUAGCGAUUCUGACGUGCAAAUCGAUCGUCGAACUUGGGUAUAGGGGCAAAAGACUAAUCNAACCAUCUAUUAGCUGGUUCCUGCC
Molecule: ribosomal RNA, 952 nt
Filed under: Ramaria stricta
Lineage: Eukaryota; Fungi; Basidiomycota; Agaricomycetes; Gomphales; Gomphaceae
Description: eukaryotic LSU rRNA
Rfam family: Eukaryotic large subunit ribosomal RNA
Source: RNAcentral